GCGGUCGGAGCCCGCAAGGGUGACGGCGUGCCUUUUGCAUAAUGAGCCUACGAGUUACUCCUCACUGGCAAGGUUAAGGUCUUCAGUACCGGAGCCGUAGCGAAAGCAAGUUCUAACAGAGCGAAUUUAGUCAGUGGGGGUAGACGCGAAACUUUGUGAUCUAUCCAUGGGCAGGGUGAAGGUUAGGUAAAACUAACUGGAGGCCCGAACUCAUUAGCGUUGAAA
RNAcentral lists this ribosomal RNA (225 nucleotides) under Chitinophaga polysaccharea. RNAcentral describes it as "partial 23S ribosomal RNA". It matches the Rfam family "Bacterial large subunit ribosomal RNA", at positions 570 to 794 of the family's 2925-position model. Lineage: Bacteria; Pseudomonadati; Bacteroidota; Chitinophagia; Chitinophagales; Chitinophagaceae. The record is from RNAcentral.